Ornithodoros turicata is the source of this 4622-nucleotide RNA transcript. RefSeq lists it as uncharacterized. The record is from RefSeq and is a predicted model, not a curated record. The transcript has 4 exons. Lineage: Eukaryota; Metazoa; Arthropoda; Arachnida; Ixodida; Argasidae.
GGCGUACAAAGUACGAGACACUUGAAGAAGUGACGCGUUAGAUGCAGUUGGACGCUAACACCAGUGUUCGUUAGAAGGCUGGAGAAAUAUGAGGUCAAGAUGAGCGACGAACUAUCAAGAACACAGCCAUGCAGUGCUGUUGUGCACAGUGAACAGCGCACACAUAGCCAGGGUGAUAGCGAGCAACUCAUUCGUCGACAGGCUGCGCAAGUUGCAUAUUUUCGCAGACGCCAGCCCAAGGGCAUAUGGUGCGGUAGUCUACCUCGAGCACAGACAGAGAAUGCAACACAAAGUGACAAAACAGGUGCGGCCACCAAGUCCGCGUAUUGAAGAUAACCGAAACCCUAUUGCGGAUAGGAACCUCGAGGUUGUGUCACAUACAGAGAUAAAAUGGAGGCCGAAAGGAAUAAGAAAGCUGGUGAAACUUGGUGAAGUCGGAGGAAAUUACAGAAUAGUCAGUACGACGUUCAUGUUGAAAGGUUACACCUUCGAGCUAGAGGUUACUGCCGAGGACAAGGAUGGAAAGCCGCAUCUGGUGGCUGUGCUACGCCUGUGCCCCGGUUGCAAUGACGAUAACCUGGAAUGGCCAUUCAAUACGCCAUACACGAUAACCCUCUGCCACCCUCAUGACGAAGACUAUACCAUCCCGGUACCUGCUGUAUUCGGCACCCAUACCCGUACUUCCUAUGUGAGACCACAGGGUGGCCGUAAUCCUGGUGUUACGUUCUUCUUCAUACCGCUUGAAGCAUUUAAAGGGCGCCACUAUGUAAUCGACGAUGCCCUUUGCUUGUCAUUGAAGUUGUACGCUCCAGUUGAAUAAUACACUAUACGAUAAUGCGUCAGAAACCCGCUAUAUGAUAUGCUGAGUACGACACUUUUAUUGUAAUGUUUUCCAAUGUUGCAGAACGCACGUGUGGUCUGUGCUACACCAGCGUUGCAGACAUAUAGAAACGCAUAAACAGAACACAUUUGGGUGUGACAAUGAAAAAAUGGCUAGGAAGCAAGCGAGCUGGUGAGGAUGAUGCAUAAUGUAAAACCCCGAGACUAGGGAACACGAAGGGACAGACACAACACGAAGUCUCACAUUUGGGUAAUCCACAAUGACGGUACAUGGGCAACCGAUGGAAAGGCAGGCAGUAACGUUCGGAAUCCCGAGCCGUUUCACAUUCCCGGGAUUUCGAAAACAAAACGUCGAUUGGAACCCUUCUUUCCCUUUCACUCGUACCCCGGAAUAUUUGUUGUCAAAAAAGCCGAAAUUUAUAAUCUCGAACUCCCGCGAUUUGGACUUGCCAAAUGCUCAAAUUAUGCUCAAAUCCCGGGAUUUCAGGACCCUGUGGUCCUGGGCUUCGAAGCCUAGUAGGUAAUUGUCUACAACCAGCCUUGAAAAAGAAUCACGAUUGUUAUGACAAUAUCGAGAAAGUUUGAUUCACUCGAUUGACUUUGAUUUAUUUGAUCUAAAUCAACUUUUGAGCAGGCAUUUGGUUUGGACUACGAACACCACUCCUGUGAAAAUCUGGAAAGUAAACCCUGAUGACACACUCUACAAACAGUACUUCACCGCAUAGCACGCCGUACGCCGACCAUUUCCACGAAUGAUAGCGUUAUCGCUUUUGAUUCGAAAGUAAACCAGGGCGCGGCAAUUUGGAUAUAUGAUUGCCACAAAGAGGCAUACGCAUCCAUCUCUCUUCGGAUCACAAGCGAUAGUCCAAUAAUUCGUGGCAAUGGUUGGCGCACAGCGUGCUAUGCGGUGAAGUUCUGUUUUUAGAGUGCAUAGACUGCACAGAAGUCGCUUAUGUAGUUGACGCAGAGCAGUAGAGAUGGAAAGAGACACGCUUAGAGUUCCACAGCGAAUAUCAAUCACCGUUGCCAAGCCGGAACAAAUGAGCUGCUACACAGCACUUGGAACAUUAGAAGCUAAUUUCCUUACAAAAUGUCAAGAGGUAUACAUGCAGUAACUUGAAGGCCUGGCUAGGCAUUUGAACGGCACAUUUCUAGCCAAUAUCGUGCAAUACAGGUAGAAAGGCACUACGUAAUUAGAUAUUGCAAUGUAUUGGACACAUCAUUUUUUUACUACGUACUUGUCACCGGUUAUAGGUUAUGAAGUGGAGGAUAUCCCUUUAAAGGAGCACUGAGGUGACCCCAAUUUCUUUUUCGAUGCAGGGCGUUCGCCAAGGAAUAAUAUGUGAUCAUGUUCUUAAUGGGGACACCUCACAGUGUUAUCAUAAUUUUGAUGUCUGACUGCCUGAAGAGGAGACGCUAUGCUUCAAUAAGUACCCCGUGCGCGCAGUACUUCAGGGGCCAUGGUUUCGGGCUCUUGGCGAGGAAUUGCCGUGGGACACCGCGCUAGCAGACAUGCUAAACUCGAAAAGAAGCCAAAUGUGCCAAAGGUUAAGGACGCAUCCUGGUAGUUAGAGGUAGCUCCCAUUGCGGCCCUUAAAAAAUAAUUUUUUGGGGAAAAUGCGGCUCCAUCAACCAUGCUAUGCUGUAGGCUCCUCAAAUACCAAAGUGGUCCGGGGCUUUAUUACCUCCACAGCCGUAACACGCCCUUCAGGCUCCUCUGCGCCAGAACAAGGUCGCACACAUACCACGAAAGACUUGGCGCUUUUUGCUAAGAGCUAGGAAAUAAGGGUGAUAAAGGUGUCUAUCAUGCCAACUGUUCGGUCCAUGCGAAGGUCACGGCGACACAAGAGAAAGUUCAAGAAUUAUCAUGAUCAGCUCAUCCACCUUUUCUCUUUUCUUUUAUGACGUGAAAAUUUUUCUAAUUUCGGUUUGGUCGCCAGGUCAACAAUUUACGGUGAAAUUAUGCAGUAUUUCAUGACGAUUCCUGACGCGAUAAAUCUGUGAUUAAGAAACCAUUGGCAAUCAACUGGCUAGCAUAGCGUACACGUGUAAGGCUCUAGCUAACAGGUCACUGCAGCGGCUGGCGCAUUCUGGCGGGUGCGUGCGAGAGGUACGGAAAUGUAGGGGUACGUGCACCUUGCCGGCAUUCUAUCUCGCGAAAGCGUAAAACUAGGAUGUCGAUAGAGGUAUCUUUCGGAAGUGCCAGAGAAGUUCUACCCGGACCUUAAGCGAUGUCCGAUUCAACGAGAAGAACCAAUAUUUAGUAAAUUUGCAAAUUUGAGAAUCAAAUUUUCGCCAGAAUGACGGCGUAUAGAAACCUAAAAUAUGAUCAGAGCUGGGGGAAACGGCAAUCUGCAGAAAGUGCGGUUCGAGAGGAACAAACAAAAAAGCCCAAAUUUCCCAGAGUCCAGCACCGAGCCAUCGAGAGAGCUGAGAGAGCGACGAAGAUAGAGGCAAAUUCGGCAGCCGGCGCUCAUAGUGAGUCCGUACUGUCAAAUAAUAUCACAAAACUAAUGGAAUGAAUAAAUAAAUAAACACUUGCAUUUAUUUCACUAAGAUCCCGCAAAGUAGUAAAGGAAUCCCAGAUUGUGACGUUUUCACGUAAAACACUACUCCAUUUUUUUACGCUUUCCGUUUCUGGCAAGUGCAAGCAAACACGUGAUGGUUAAUGCUCGUUGUGUGUACAUAAUGAGUAACUGAAAAAUAAGAUAAAAAUUUAGAAGUACACAUGUUCAAUGUACAUGGUAUUGCCCCUCUAGCUUGUCCCAUGUGGGUAACAGGAGUUUCAGAGCUGUGAAAAUGUCUAGAUAAUCAUCUUGCACUGCAGUCUGAACCAACUACACCACCUCACCAACUGCACUGUUAGAAAAAUGGGUGGAACAGUUACACAUUUUAGGAGAUAAUGGUCAUCGCAUAUGUUGUGCCUAAAAGGUUUCACAGUUCUACCUGCUACUUACGAAUGAUAGGGCUACCGCUUUUGAUUCGGCGAGUGAGGGGGAGUAUGCCUUCUUGUUGCAAUUUUUAUGUAUGAUAAUUGCUUUUCCAUGAUAGGCAAGCCCGAGCGAUGGGCAAGACACGUAAACAAACACAAACACGGAGGCUCAGUGCUUGAGCCUUCGUGUUUGUGCUUGUUUACGUGUCUUGCCCAUCGCUCAGGCUUGCCUAUCAUGAAAUUUAUCCACCAGCUAGCCUGCAUUUACGCCAUUCUGUCAAUAAUUGCUUUUAUCAUCGUUUUAGACCCUGAUGACACACUAUGUUGGCCUAGAUGGUAACUAUUUUCACACCCUUUUUUCCUGGAGUGUAGCCCAAGGCAAAUCACUGUUCAAGUUUUAUGGAAAAAGCUCAGCGUAGAAGUGUGAAAUUUUCAUUUAUUUUGCAUCGAGCUGCUAAUUGUCGGUACCUGUCGCUGCUGCUUAAUAAAACGUGUUCCCAAUCUGUCUGUAUCAUGCUUAUGACAUUCUAACUCGAUGAUAUAGCGGACAGCACGUUAUUGCCCCAUACGUUCAUUUACUAAUGUAUUUGACCUCGGUUGUCUCGCGACGCACUCCCCCAAUUAUUAAUAAUAAUAAUAAUAUAUUUCUCUAUCCGUUCUUCCUUCAUCUGUAUGUAGAAAUUUCUGAUGAUCUGUCGCUUAAAGAUUACAUUGAUCACCACUGGAGAUAUUUGUGGUCCUGUAUAAUAUCACAAAAGUUCUCAGUCUGUUACUAAGUUGUCAAUUUUCAUUGUGUAUUUUGCACGGCAAAAGCUGGAUAAUAAAAUGAAGCCCGUUAAGCCGCAAUUGA